UUGAAUAAACUUGGUGGGCUGUCGCUGGCUUUGAGAAGCAUUGUGCACGCCUGCUGACUUUAUCCCAUCCACCUGUGCACCUUUUUGUAGUUUUGGGAGGUUGAAAGCAACAAGGGGAUGGCUCUGCGCAAAGCUUGGCUUUCCUGGGUUGCAUUCUCACUUCUCUGACUAUGUGUUUUUGCAUACACUAUGUAGCAUGUUGCAGAAUGUAUCACAAGGGCUUUCACGCCUAUAAAUGACAAUA
This 244-nucleotide unclassified non-coding RNA is filed under the name uncultured Basidiomycota. RNAcentral's name for it is "sequence contains ITS1". The record is from RNAcentral. Lineage: Eukaryota; Fungi; Basidiomycota.